Molecule: ribosomal RNA, 301 nt
Filed under: uncultured bacterium
Lineage: Bacteria
Description: partial 16S ribosomal RNA
Rfam family: Bacterial small subunit ribosomal RNA
Source: RNAcentral
CAGCCGCCGCGGGAAUACGUAGGGUGCAAGCGUUAAUCGGAAUUACUGGGCGUAAAGCGUGCGCAGGCGGUUAUAUAAGUCAGAUGUGAAAGCCCACGGCUCAACCGUGGAGGGUCAUUGGAAACUGUUAAACAUGAGUGCAGGAGAGAAAAGUGGAAUUCCUAGUGUAGCGGUGAAAUGCGUAGAGAUGUGGAGGAACACCAGUGGCGAAGGCGACUCUCUGGUCUGUAACUGACGCUGAGGAGCGAAAGCGUGGGGAGCGAACAGGAUUAGAUACCCGUGUAGUCCCUGUCUCUUUACA